UACGAAGGGGGCUAGCGUUGCUCGGAAUCACUGGGCGUAAAGCGCACGUAGGCGGCUUCUUAAGUCAGGGGUGAAAUCCUGGAGCUCAACUCCAGAACUGCCUUUGAUACUGAGGAGCUCGAGUCCGGGAGAGGUGAGUGGAACUCCGAGUGUAGAGGUGAAAUUCGUAGAUAUCGGGAGGAAUACCAGUGGCGAAGGCGCUGGGCUGGACGGUCAUUGACGCUGAGGUGCGAAAGCGUGGGGAGCAAACAGG
Molecule: ribosomal RNA, 253 nt
Filed under: uncultured bacterium
Lineage: Bacteria
Description: partial 16S ribosomal RNA
Rfam family: Bacterial small subunit ribosomal RNA
Source: RNAcentral